UACGGAGGAUGCGAGCGUUAUCCGGAUUUACUGGGUGUAAAGGGAGCGUAGACGGCGGUGCAAGCCAGAUGUGAAAGCCCGGGGCUCAACCCCGGGACUGCAUUGGAAACUGUUGAACUGGAGUACAGGAGAGGUAAGCGGAAUUCCUAGUGUAGCGGUGGAAUGCGUAGAUAUUAGGAGGAACAUCAGUGGCGAAGGCGACUAUCUGGACAGCAACUGACACUGAGGCACGAAAGCGUGGGGAGCAAACAGG
This 253-nucleotide ribosomal RNA is filed under the name uncultured Eubacteriales bacterium. RNAcentral describes it as "uncultured Clostridiales bacterium partial 16S ribosomal RNA". It matches the Rfam family "Bacterial small subunit ribosomal RNA", at positions 524 to 776 of the family's 1533-position model. Lineage: Bacteria; Bacillati; Bacillota; Clostridia; Eubacteriales. The record is from RNAcentral.